Molecule: long non-coding RNA, 813 nt
Organism: Acipenser ruthenus (sterlet)
Lineage: Eukaryota; Metazoa; Chordata; Actinopteri; Acipenseriformes; Acipenseridae
Exons: 3
Source: RefSeq, a predicted model, not a curated record
UCUUGUGUAAAGAGCAUGUGCUGAGAGAGCUGGAGACUUCUCUAAGAGACCAAACCAAACCAAACCAAACUAAAAGGAAUUAAUUUUUGAAAUCUUUUGAAUGUGUUUCUUUAGCUUUAGAUUAUUAGAAAAACAACAAGUUUGCCAAGGUGUUUACAUUUUGUGUUUGCAGUUAGCGAGUCCAUCUAGCUAAAAAUAACUGAAAAAAGAGAACCAAAGUGGUGGACUACAGGGAACCUAACAAGCACUCCAGCGAGUGUGUCAAGCUGGACUGUACUGGAACCAAGGAGCCACACUGCAAUACGCUGCUGCCUAGAAGAGGAAGCACUAGCCCAGCUCAUUACCAAGAACAACAAUGUGAGAACCACUCUGAACCUCACUAUUAUUGCUUGUUGUUGUUGUUACCCCAGCCGUGGUUUAAAAGUGUUUUAAGGGCAGAGCGUAAAAGUAGCUAUCAUAGGAAGAUUGUGAAUGUGUUGAAAUUUCUGGCAAAGAAAAACAAAACACAAGGACAAGUCUGUGACUGUUAUUCUCACUGGAACCGAGGGGUGGUAUCUGUGGCAAUCUGGAAAAGCUUCACUGGGACCUCAGGAGGACCUCACUGUUCGAAUGCUGACAGAGAAGCUCAUAAACAAAGACACCAGUGCAAGUACAUGUUCUGGAGUUGUGCAGACGUCGGUAGACGUCAAAGAAACAAAACUGUAAUAUCUGAGUAUAUCGUGGGGAGAGGAAGAAAGCAUAGCUGUCAUAGCGUUGUGGGGCAAAACUCAAAUCCAGAGUGUACUCUGAGCAGAAACAGAAAAUAAAUACAUA